This 114-nucleotide transfer RNA is filed under the name Papilio xuthus (Asian swallowtail). It matches the Rfam family "tRNA". From Rfam's summary of the family: Transfer RNA (tRNA) molecules are approximately 80 nucleotides in length. Their secondary structure includes four short double-helical elements and three loops (D, anti-codon, and T loops). Further hydrogen bonds mediate the characteristic L-shaped molecular structure. tRNAs have two regions of fundamental functional importance: the anti-codon, which is responsible for specific mRNA codon recognition, and the 3' end, to which the tRNAs corresponding amino acid is attached (by aminoacyl-tRNA synthetases). tRNAs cope with the degeneracy of the genetic code in two manners: having more than one tRNA (with a specific anti-codon) for a particular amino acid; and 'wobble' base-pairing, i.e. permitting non-standard base-pairing at the 3rd anti-codon position. Lineage: Eukaryota; Metazoa; Arthropoda; Insecta; Lepidoptera; Papilionidae. The record is from Rfam by way of RNAcentral.
GUCAGGAUGGCCGAGCGGUCUAAGGCGCCAGACUCAAGGUUACCUUGCCCACUACAGUGGGUCCGGGCGUUCUGGUCCUCUCUGAGGGCGUGGGUUCGAAUCCCACUUCUGACA